ACAAAUGUUCAUACUCAAUACACAAACAACAAGAUCAGUAUUCAAAGAUAAAAGCAAAUGUUCUUUAUAAGCUACUAGACAAGCAACAAGGAGAUGCGACCAUAUAUUCUUAAUGCUGCUUUGUAAAUAGCCAAUUCUGCAGAAUAUAAAAUGAACCAAGGGCAGAAUAGACAUUCCAUGAAAUGCCGUUCCAUUCUUGGCCUAUUCCAUGAACCAAACACCACAUAAGAGUUAUAAGAGUAUAAGACAUUACGUGGCCAAUUGGUCAUAGAAAGCAGAACUCAGUAGAACUAAAGUGAAGUUGCACACAUACAAAUUCAUGAAUUAUGUGGCAAGAGAGACUUAUUCAAUGGAAAAAUAUGGAAAUUUCUUAGAUUUACUAACUGUUAAGAGUCUCACAUUGAUAAAAUAAGAGAGGACAUAAGGGUUUAUAAGGUCAUGAGUUAGACUAGCUAAUUGAUUGGAUUCGAAUCUUUUAGUGUGGUUUGGCCCAUGUGCAUUACAGCCCAAUUGACCCAAUUGAGUGACCUUGGCCCAAUCUUAGAUUAUAACACUAUCAAAUACUUUAUAACAAAGAAAGCAUUGAUUGCAACAAAAUGAAACUGAU
This is a long non-coding RNA of Ipomoea nil (Japanese morning glory), 607 nucleotides long. RefSeq lists it as uncharacterized. The record is from RefSeq and is a predicted model, not a curated record. The transcript is spliced from 2 exons. NCBI's taxonomy places the organism in Eukaryota, Viridiplantae, Streptophyta, Magnoliopsida, Solanales, Convolvulaceae.